ACCAAAGCUAACUAGGUGUUUAGCACAUUGACUUUUCACGUCAAAAGAGCACCCUGUGCAUUUAGCUA
RNAcentral lists this transfer RNA (68 nucleotides) under Quadrula quadrula (mapleleaf mussel). Its description in RNAcentral is "tRNA-Glu". Lineage: Eukaryota; Metazoa; Mollusca; Bivalvia; Unionida; Unionidae. The record is from RNAcentral.